GAUGAACGCUGGCGGCGUGCCUAAUACAUGCAAGUCGAGCGAACGGACGCGACGCUUGCUUUUCUGAUGUUAGCGGCGGACGGGUGAGUAACACGUGGAUAACCUACCUAUAAGACUGGGAUAACUUCGGGAAACCGGAGCUAAUACCGGAUAAUAUUUUGAACCGCAUGGUUCAAAAGUGAAAGACGGUCUUGCUGUCUCUUAUCGAUGGAUCCGCGCUGCAUUAGCUAGUUGGUAAGGUAACGGCUUACCAAGGCAACGAUGCAUAGCCGACCUGAGAGAGUGAUCGGCCACACUGGAACUGAGACACGGACCAGACUCCUACGGGAGGCAGCAGUAGGGAAUCUUCCGCAAUGGUCGAAAGCCUGACGGAGCAACGCCGCGUGAGUGAUGAAGGUCUUCGGAUCGUAAAACUCUGUUAUUAGGGAAGAACAUAUGUGUAAGUAACUGUGCACAUCUUGACGGUACCUAAUCAGAAAGCCACGGCUAACUACGUG
Molecule: ribosomal RNA, 497 nt
Filed under: uncultured bacterium
Lineage: Bacteria
Description: partial 16S ribosomal RNA
Rfam family: Bacterial small subunit ribosomal RNA
Source: RNAcentral